RNAcentral lists this long non-coding RNA (865 nucleotides) under Fukomys damarensis (Damara mole-rat). RNAcentral's name for it is "lncRNA (ENSFDAG00000022788.1)". Lineage: Eukaryota; Metazoa; Chordata; Mammalia; Rodentia; Bathyergidae. The record is from RNAcentral.
CCGGCCAUGGCUAUGUUGGGGGAUCCCAGCGAGCAGAGCACCUGUGACCACAGGAGCAGCUGCGUGCGAAGCCACUUCCCGGGACCAUCUUUAGUUCUCCCUUCCUGCAAUUUACACGCCAGAGAGGCUUCGCCCAUCUGAAUUAAACCUGAUUAAGGGGCUGCGCGGGGCUCCCCACACCAAACUGCCGGCCGCAGAGAAGGUCAGUCCACCCCAAAAAGUAAGUCUAUUUUCCACAAAGCCUGGAAGCUUCUCGGACUCCUAGAGAUUACUUACAUUUCUCUCUCUCUCUUAUUUUGAGAUAAGAUCUCAUUAUAUAGUUCAGGCUGGCGUUAAAUUCAAGCCAAAAUCCUCCUGCCUCGGCCUCUCAAGUGUUCACAGGUGUGCGCCAUCACACCUGGCUGUACUUCUCUCAGCAGGAAGAAUUUCUGCACAGAUGUGAUAUGGGCUGUCAUUGGUCUGUACCCUGCCGUAGCUGGACCUCCAGGAAGGCGGAGGGAUUCUCCAGCUCCCCGCAAGAUGUCCACCGUCAGUGAUAAGACCCAAGAAGUCGCUAAAAUGGGCAAAUUUGCAGGAUCAGAGUGUGGCCCUAGCUAUUCGCAGACGAAGGAGCAGCAAAACAGGUGAGCUCCUGGGUCUGUGGCCUCAGUGCCCCUCGGGUGACAACAGCCUGCUGCGGACUUUGGUCCUGUGAGAGGCCGGGAGGCUCAGAGGUGCAGCGCUCCUGCGGAGGAGCAGGGCCUGGGCUCACCCCAGCGUUGAAGAACAAAAAAAAGAGUUAAGCGUGGGCUUCUUUGUUCUUGCCACAAUAAAACAACUGCAACAGCAACAAAUCAGCAUUUGGGGUGGGGACGAAUCCUGCAAU